Molecule: long non-coding RNA, 199 nt
Filed under: Panax ginseng (ginseng)
Lineage: Eukaryota; Viridiplantae; Streptophyta; Magnoliopsida; Apiales; Araliaceae
Description: long non-coding RNA (PGIN_LNC018179)
Source: RNAcentral
AUUCGUUAAUAAUAUGAUCCAAAUCUAAGCAUUAAAAAUAGUUCGAAUAAAAAUAUGAGUAGAAUUUGAGCAAUGUUAUACUCGACUCGUUUAAGAUUCAAACUACUCGAAUUUUUUAUUGUGAUUCGAUACAUACUCGGUUAAUACAUAUUCGAUUAGAUGUUCGAUACAUUCUCUUAUAAUAUAUACAAAUUUAAAU